AACGAACGCUGGCGGCAUGCCUAACACAUGCAAGUCGAACGGGAUCCUGGCUUCGGCCAGGUGAGAGUGGCGGACGGGUGAGUAACGCGUGGGAACCUGCCCAUUGGUCUGGGAUAACUGCGGGAAACUGCAGCUAAUACCGGAUGUACCCGAGAGGGGAAAGAUUUAUCGCCGAUGGAGGGGCCCGCGUCAGAUUAGGUAGUUGGUGAGGUAACGGCUCGCCAAGCCUACGAUCUGUAGCUGGUCUGAGAGGAUGAUCAGCCACACUGGGACUGAGAUACGGCCCAGACUCCUACGGGAGGCAGCAGUGGGGGAAUAUUGGACAAUGGGGGGCAACCCUGAUCCAGCAAUGCCGCGUGAGUGAUGAAGGCCUUAGGGUUGUAAAGCUCUUUUACCAGGGACGAUGAUGACGGUACCUGGAGAAUAAGCCCCGGCUAACUUCGUGCCAGCAGCCGCGGUAAU
This 462-nucleotide ribosomal RNA is filed under the name uncultured bacterium. RNAcentral's name for it is "bacterial SSU rRNA". It matches the Rfam family "Bacterial small subunit ribosomal RNA", at positions 29 to 524 of the family's 1533-position model. The record is from RNAcentral.